RNAcentral lists this ribosomal RNA (1058 nucleotides) under uncultured organism. RNAcentral describes it as "bacterial SSU rRNA". It matches the Rfam family "Bacterial small subunit ribosomal RNA", at positions 382 to 1469 of the family's 1533-position model. The record is from RNAcentral.
UCAGACGCAGCGACGCCGCGUGGGCGAUGAAGGCCUUCGGGUUGUAAAGCCCUUUUAUGGGGGAAGAGAAAAAGGACGGUACCCCAGGAAUAAGUCCCGGCUAACUACGUGCCAGCAGCCGCGGUAAAACGUAGGGGACAAGCGUUAUCCGGAUUCACUGGGCGUAAAGAGCGUUGAGGCGGUUCCGUAAGUUGGGCGUGAAAGCUCCGGGCUUAACUCGGAGAUGUCGUUCAAUACUGCGGGGCUUGAGGACAGCAGAGGAAGGUGGAAUUCCCGGUGUAGUGGUGAAAUGCGUAGAUAUCGGGAGGAACACCCGUGGCGAAGGCGGCCUUCUGGGCUGUUCCUGACGCUGAAGGCGAAAGCUAGGGGAGCGAACGGGAUUAGAUACCCCGGUAGUCCUAGCUGUAAACGAUGGAUGCUGGGUGUGGGGGGUGUAAAUUCCCUCUGUGCCGAAGCAAACGCGUUAAGCAUCCCGCCUGGGGACUACGGCCGCAAGGCUAAAACUCAAACGAAUUGACGGGGGCCCGCACAAGCAGCGGAGCGUGUGGUUUAAUUCGAUGCUACACGAAGAACCUUACCUGGGUUUGACAUGCACGUGGUAGGGAACCGAAAGGGGACCGACCUUCGGGAGCGUGCACAGGUGCUGCAUGGCUGUCGUCAGCUCGUGCCGUGAGGUGUCGGGUUAAGUCCCGUAACGAGCGCAACCCUUGCCCUUAGUUACAAGUGUCUAAGGGGACUGCCCGGGACAACUGGGAGGAAGGUGGGGAUGACGUCAAGUCAGCAUGGCCUUUAUAUCCAGGGCUACACACACGCUACAAUGGCCGGUACAAUAGGUUGCGAAGUCGUGAGGCGGAGCCAAUCCUCAAAGCCGGUCUCAGUUCGAAUUGCAGUCUGCAACUCGACUGCAUGAAGCUGGAGUUGCUAGUAAUCGCAGGUCAGCUAUACUGCGGUGAUACGUUCCCGGGCCUUGUACACACCGCCCGUCACGUCAUGGAAGCUGGCAACGCCUGAAGCCGGUGAGCUAACCCGAAAGGGAGGCAGCCGUCGAGGGUGGGGCU